GCUAUCUGCUUCCACCUCUGCAAGGGUCACAAUGCUCUCCACAUCCUUGCUCCUCUGCCUUCUACUAUUCUGGCCUCAAGCCCAGGCAGCCACCGUAAUGACCCAGACACCAGCCUCCCUGUCUGUGGCUCCAGGAGACACAGUCACCAUCACCUGCAAGGCCAGUUCCAGCGUUAACAAGGGGAUCAACUGGUUCCAGCAGAAACCAGGACAGUCUCCCAAGCGCCUGAUCUAUUCUGCUUCCUCCCUGCAGUCUGGGGUCCCUGCCCGGUUCAGUGGCAGUGGCUCUGGGACAGAUUUCACCUUCACCAUCAGUGGUUUAGAGGCUGAGGAUGUUGCAGAUUAUUACUGUUUGCAAUAUUAUAAUCAUCCAUUCCCACAGUGUUUCAGCCCGGAACAGAAACCUCCCCAGGCUGCUCAGUCCUUCACUAUAGGGGAGCAGCUGCUGUCACAGGCUUUGGCCAACCACUGCCCUCAGGGGAGAAUUGGGCCUAAUUCAGCUCUGUUGCAGGAGCCACUUGUCCCAGGGGCUCUGGUUGAGCCAGAAAAAGAAAUCCAGGAUACACAAAGUGGAAGGAACAGUCCCUACACUUCUUGA
Non-coding RNA from Trichosurus vulpecula (common brushtail), 598 nucleotides. Lineage: Eukaryota; Metazoa; Chordata; Mammalia; Diprotodontia; Phalangeridae. The record is from the annotation of a RefSeq genome assembly.